GGUGGUUUGCAGGGUGGUUAAAUGGCGCCCCACUUUUGCAUCCCACGGCUCAUGGCUUCUCUGCAGCCCUCCUGUGCGCUGAGCUGCCAAUCCGUUUGCCCCUCACAGUUCCGACUCUACCCUCCUCUCUCCAGCUCUAUCAAUGGCAGCAACAUUAAUAUUAAUGAGAGGAAUUAAUACACAUUUCCCGGAAAAGGUCAAGGAAAACAGAACCACAAAAGACUGAGCACAAUUAGUGUGCUCGGUGUUUGGUAAACAUUUUUUCAUUAAAUCCAGACGAUGUAGCACUCAGAGGUCAAACUACUGUGGGCAUCAGGAAAACAUAACUAAGAGCAAUCCGAUUUAUGCACAGCCUGCGGUGGGGCCUCAUUACAACACAACCCCUGAUCCCUAUACUUCUGAAUGCCUGAUAGAAGAUCAGCUUUACAACAGAGAAUGAAGACCUUUUUCCUUGGAGUCCCAGAACUCCAAGUCAAACAUUUACGAUAUGACAAAUAAAAGCUAUGUUCUAAUGCAA
Panthera uncia (snow leopard) is the source of this 517-nucleotide long non-coding RNA. RefSeq lists it as uncharacterized. NCBI's taxonomy places the organism in Eukaryota, Metazoa, Chordata, Mammalia, Carnivora, Felidae. The record is from RefSeq and is a predicted model, not a curated record. The transcript is spliced from 2 exons.